This 827-nucleotide ribosomal RNA is filed under the name Fusarium nirenbergiae. Its description in RNAcentral is "partial large subunit ribosomal RNA". It matches the Rfam family "Eukaryotic large subunit ribosomal RNA", at positions 54 to 911 of the family's 3401-position model. Lineage: Eukaryota; Fungi; Ascomycota; Sordariomycetes; Hypocreales; Nectriaceae. The record is from RNAcentral.
AGGAAAAGAAACCAACAGGGAUUGCCCUAGUAACGGCGAGUGAAGCGGCAACAGCUCAAAUUUGAAAUCUGGCUCUCGGGCCCGAGUUGUAAUUUGUAGAGGAUACUUUUGAUGCGGUGCCUUCCGAGUUCCCUGGAACGGGACGCCAUAGAGGGUGAGAGCCCCGUCUGGUUGGAUGCCAAAUCUCUGUAAAGUUCCUUCAACGAGUCGAGUAGUUUGGGAAUGCUGCUCUAAAUGGGAGGUAUAUGUCUUCUAAAGCUAAAUACCGGCCAGAGACCGAUAGCGCACAAGUAGAGUGAUCGAAAGAUGAAAAGCACUUUGAAAAGAGAGUUAAAAAGUACGUGAAAUUGUUGAAAGGGAAGCGUUUAUGACCAGACUUGGGCUUGGUUAAUCAUCUGGGGUUCUCCCCAGUGCACUUUUCCAGUCCAGGCCAGCAUCAGUUUUCCCCGGGGGAUAAAGGCGGCGGGAAUGUGGCUCUCUUCGGGGAGUGUUAUAGCCCACCGUGUAAUACCCUGGGGGGGACUGAGGUUCGCGCAUCUGCAAGGAUGCUGGCGUAAUGGUCAUCAACGACCCGUCUUGAAACACGGACCAAGGAGUCGUCUUCGUAUGCGAGUGUUCGGGUGUCAAACCCCUACGCGUAAUGAAAGUGAACGCAGGUGAGAGCUUCGGCGCAUCAUCGACCGAUCCUGAUGUUCUCGGAUGGAUUUGAGUAAGAGCAUACGGGGCCGGACCCGAAAGAAGGUGAACUAUGCCUGUAUAGGGUGAAGCCAGAGGAAACUCUGGUGGAGGCUCGCAGCGGUUCUGACGUGCAAAUCGAUCGUCAAAUA